Molecule: non-coding RNA, 4254 nt
Organism: Rattus norvegicus (Norway rat)
Lineage: Eukaryota; Metazoa; Chordata; Mammalia; Rodentia; Muridae
Source: RefSeq, a predicted model, not a curated record
CACGUUAUGGAUCCACCCCACCCCCACCCCCCACCCCACCUCCCGGUGAGGAAUGAAAGAGGUCAGAACUGGGCCGUAGCUCAGCGGGGAUACAGACAUUUGUCUAAUGGCUCUUUUUGACACUAGCAUCCCACGGAAUCUUACCUCCCUCUGGGUCUCCUCCGCGGGAAUGGAGCUCCGUGAAAGUUUUGUUCUAUUUCGCUCACUGCUCUCUACACAAACUAGAUAACCUUACCUUACGUCAAGCUGAAAGAUAAACAAGCCGGCUCAGAGUCUAUCGUACUUGGCAGAAAGGCAUCUAACACGGAUGAAAGGGAAAUCUAGAGCUUCCAAUGUAGAAUACAAAAAGAAAAAGAGAAAGAAAGAAAGAGAAAGAAAGAAAGAAAGAAAGAAAGAAAGAAGGAAAGAAAUAAAGAAGGAAAAAGAAAAAUUGAAAAUUAAAGAUUCAGUAUUUCUACAUCUGGAAUAAACAAGACAAAACAAAACAUACAACAACAAAACUAAAUUGGGUGGUGGUGGCAAACGCCUUUAAUCCCAACAUAGGGAGGCAUGUGAAUCUCUAUGAGUUCAAGGCCAGCCUUGGUCACAAAGUGAGUUCCAGGACAGCCAGAGAAACCCUGUCUUUAAGAUAGAUAGAUAGAUAGAUAGAUAGAUAGAUAGAUAGAUAGAUAGAUAGAUAGAUAGAUAAUAGAUAAUAGAUAAUAGAUGGAUAGAUAAAUGAUAUACAGAUUAAUAGAAAGGCAUGCUUUAAAGAAGAGUAGAAAUCAAACAGUAAGCAGACAGACUGAAAAUUAGCAUUAUAGAGGGGUUGGGUAAAGACACUUAAGCUCUCUUUUCUCUAAGUGUUCUGCAAUUCCAAGUGCAUGGAGCAAGUCAGAUUCCUAAGACUUUCUCAGGGUCCUGGGUAAUUCAGUCUAUUAAUCAAGCAUUCAUUCAUUUCCGUGGUCUCCCAGGCCAAGACUUACCUGUAUCCCCAGAAUUUGAACACCUACCCAUCGCCUACCUAAUGGCUUAAAGCGGGCCAAAUCCUUUUUCAAAAAUUCACUUUACAAUACCUACUGAGUGUACAAAGUACACGACCGGGCUUUACGUAUGCAUUUUAUUAAUACACACUAUGUCCCUAAUUGCCUUUGCAGUCUAUAAAUACUUAUUAAGCAUCUGCUGUGCUCCAGGCACCCUUCUAAAGAUGGAUUAAUUACAGUAUUUAUAAUACAUCUAUUGUCAUGCUCUAUUUUAUAGUUGAAAAUACUGAGCUUUAGAGAAAUUAGACAUUACCAGCCAAACGCAGAGUUUUCAACCCAUCCAAGAGCUGGGUUUGCUUUGUUUGUCUUGUUUUUGUUUGUUGUUUUGCUCGUAUUUGUUUGUUCCGAGAUAAGACCUCACUAUGUAGCUCCAGCUGGAACUUGCUUUGUAGACCAGGCUGGCCUGGAACUCACAGAGUUCCUCCUGCCUCGGCUUCCAGAGUGCUAAGAUCACUGGUGUACCACUUAAUUAUUUCUUUCAAUCAUGGAAGAGGUUCCAAAAAACUUAAAGGAAAAUUCUUUCUGUUUAAGUCCUGCUACUCCCCAUCUCCUCCUUCCCUUGGGUUUACUGAACUCUAUCGAAUUACUGGCCUAAACCUAGUUUCCCUUAGAAGACCUGAUUUAAGGGCUCCUGACCUUUGGAUGAACUCAAUUCUACCCACUUUGGUUAGGGCAUCUGUGGGCCUCAAAUCUACAAGCCAAUGGGAUUUAGUUUUCCUUUCCCUCCGGAGUUCUUCAGAACCUCUCCACCCAACCCACUUGUUUAUCUAGUCUGAUGCUUGAAAACCCACCUCCCUUCCUGUCAGUCAGGCUGUUGGCGGUCGAUGGUGAUUGAUUGAUUUACCGUACUUCUUGUGUUUUGUUCUGUCCGAUUUUACUUAUUUGUGGGUUUCGUUUUUUUGUUUUUGUUUUUAUUCACUGUGGGAUAAAAAGCCAAGCUGCUUCCCGUCUAUAAUUUGGGCAUCCUAAGGAAUCCUUCAGCUUCGCUUCCUGUCUGAACUUUGUUUCUGGUAUGAUUUUAGAUUCUGCCACACCAGACAAUCCACUUUUCAUCUGGUCCCAUCCUUAGGCUGAAGGCAAAGUAAGAAUCAAUAAAGAUGAUCAGCGCCUAACCUCAUCAAAUGAAACGUUUCAAAGGAAAAAAGAAGUUAAAGAAUGAAUAAAAUGAAACAAAGAUGGGUGUCUCAGACAGUGGGCUCAAGCACCCAUUUUUCCCCAGGGGCCCUUGGAAGAGCAAAAGAAUAGCCCAGGAUAUGAAUAACCUGCAAUAAAAACUCACAAUUCUCAAAUCCGACAGCGUGGAUGCAAAGGUUAUUUCAGGCCACAGAGAUGGCUCGGUAGGGAAGGCAUUUUCCCUAAAGAGCGGGUAACAGAAUGGAAAUAAAACAUAGCUAUGGAAGACUUAACAAGAUUUGUGUCGAGCUUUCAAAAUCCUCUAAUGUCUCUCGGCGGUCUCCAGAUAAAACACAUCUCCCAUGAGGUAGCAGGUUUUUCUAUGGGUGCGUGUUCUGCUCAGGAGUGAUGCAAUCUUCUGUCUGAGGGGGAGUUCUCGGAUGCCUUUCCGUUGAUGGGGAAACAGAACCCGGCUUCAUUUCUACUUUGCCUCAGAGAACAGACCAUGCGGACCUGCACGUCGAGGGCUGUCAAGUAGGAAGUGUUUAGUAAACUGCUUGUCCUCCAUUGAUUCUGAGUUUACUUUAAGAAGACACUUAUCUCUUGUAAAAAGGAUGACUUCCCUUGCCGGUCACCUUUCAGAAGAGGCCUGCGAGAGGCACUCCCUGAGGACGUGCAGAAGCCUGGGUCAGCCGCCUGUGCUUAGAAACAAACAGCGGUUAUCUGCAUCUUCACAUCGCUGCCUCCCACCCCUUUCCUUCUAAGACAGUGGUUCUCAACCUUUCCCCGGUGUUGCCACCAUUUAAUACAGUUCUUCAUGUGCUGACCUCAACCAUAAAAUCUUCUUUGCUGCUUCAUACCUGUAGCUUUGCUGUUGUUAUACCGUUACUACUAGAUCAUAACUAAAUAUCUCAGAUGUCAUCCCUGUAAAAGGCUCCUUGGAGCCUGAGAGGGAUCACGACCCAGAGGUUGAGAACCACCUUUCUAGCGCGGUUCACGGCCCUACUUGGAUAUGUGUGCGUGAGCAUGAGACAGAGAGAGACAGGAACUGAGAUAGAGAGACACAGGAAGAAAAAGCCUACAACGUUUCGACUUAAAACAUGACUAUAAUUUCUUCAAUGGCAAUUUAGGCUUAAAACAAAUACACACUUUUAGAAGUAGGAGGACCUUUAAAAGCCACAUUUAUUGUUCAACGUUAUCAUUUUGCAGAUAAUGCUAGAAAUCCCAGAUAAUGCCCAAAAAAUGACAGAACUUGCUAUAAAUGCAUGCCAAAGCCUUUAUAUUUGCCCAAGUGUUGAAAGUGUAGCUCAGUGGGUAGUGCAUGCAAGAAGCCCUGGGUUGAGUCCUUAGCACUGCGUCGUAAAGCGAGCGUGCCUGUGAUUUUAGUAUUUGUGAUAUGGAUACAGGAGGACCAAAAAUUCCUGUUCAAAUCAUUUCUCUUUUCCUCUCUUUUUUUCUUCCUCCUUCUCCAUCUCCUUCCCCAGCUUUGAUUUUUAGGACAGGAUCUCACGUAGCACAAGCUGGUCUCCCAGGGUAGAGGACCUUGAAUUUCUCCUUGAAAUAAAAAGUUAUGCAGGCUGCAGGUUACACCUGUCUGGGUUUAAAUCUCAGCUCCCACAAUGACCAAGGUGAAUUAAUCUUUCCUAGCCUCCGCUGUGCCUCCUGUGAAAUGGAGACGCUAUAGGAAGUGGUCUGGAAUAUUCCACUGGAAUGCAGUGGUUUUUAUUUGUUUGUUUGUUCCUGAAUUCCUCUGGUGCACUUGAGUGUAGACUUUCCCAGAAGUCAAGUGUCAUAAACCCCUCACUAGGAGUGUCGCCAGCAGGAAAAAUAGUUUCUUAUCACCAAGAAUAGAAGAAAAAGAAAUCGAUAGACAUUGUCCCAAGCUAUCACAUCCUGCAUCUAUUCUCUAAGGGCUGGUUUAUCUUUCCCAGAAGUCAUUUGUUUCCCCAAACUGGAUUCCCUUUUGCUCCACCCCCUUUUAUCUAUCAGCUCCCAAAUCUCCCCUGAGUGACGGUGGUGUGUGAACACGCAUAAGUGAAUAAAACCUAUCCUUAAUCUCAGCACUGUGAGCUCCAUGACUUCAAAGCUACCCUGGUCUACAUAGUGAGUUUCGCUGGUG